Molecule: ribosomal RNA, 468 nt
Filed under: uncultured bacterium
Lineage: Bacteria
Description: partial 16S ribosomal RNA
Rfam family: Bacterial small subunit ribosomal RNA
Source: RNAcentral
GACGAACGCUGGCGGCGUGCUUAACACAUGCAAGUCGAACGGAAAGGCCCUGCUUUUGUGGGGUGCUCGAGUGGCGAACGGGUGAGUAACACGUGAGUAACCUGCCCUUGACUUUGGGAUAACUUCAGGAAACUGGGGCUAAUACCGGAUAGGAGCUCCUGCUGCAUGGUGGGGGUUGGAAAGUUUCGGCGGUUGGGGAUGGACUCGCGGCUUAUCAGCUUGUUGGUGGGGUAGUGGCUUACCAAGGCUUUGACGGGUAGCCGGCCUGAGAGGGUGACCGGCCACCUUGGGACUGAGCUACGGCCCAGACUCCUACGGGAGGCAGCAGUGGGGAAUAUUGCACAAUGGGCGGAAGCCUGAUGCAGCAACGCCGCGUGCGGGAUGCCGGCCUUCGGGUUGUAAACCGCUUUCGCCUGUGACGAAGCGUGAGUGACGGUAAUGGGUAAAGAAGCACCGGCUAACUACGUG